GCUACACAACUUGUUACGGGUGCCCUUCACAGGGUGAAACGGGAAACCGGUGAAUCACGCGCUUGCCAGCCGUGACCAGUCCGGUGCUGCCCCCGCAACGGUAAGCGAGCGAAGUGUCAGAUCCACUGUGCCCCCUGGCAUGGGAAGGUGACACUUGCCGGCACGGCCCAAAGGCCGGCCCCUCGCAAGCCCGGAGACCGGCCCGCAAUACACGAAUGAC
Molecule: non-coding RNA, 220 nt
Filed under: Pseudomonas sp.
Lineage: Bacteria; Pseudomonadati; Pseudomonadota; Gammaproteobacteria; Pseudomonadales; Pseudomonadaceae
Source: RNAcentral